RNAcentral lists this ribosomal RNA (375 nucleotides) under uncultured eukaryote. Its description in RNAcentral is "partial 18S ribosomal RNA". It matches the Rfam family "Eukaryotic small subunit ribosomal RNA", at positions 592 to 976 of the family's 1831-position model. The record is from RNAcentral.
CAAUAGCGUAUAUUUAAGUUGUUGCAGUUAAAAAGCUCGUAGUUGGAUUUCGGUUAAGAGCGACCGGUCCGCCGUUUGGUGUGCACUGGUUGGUUUUAACUUUCUGUAGAGGACGUGCUCUGGGUUUAACGACCUGGACUCGGAGUCUACGUGGUUACUUUGAAAAAAUUAGAGUGUUCAAAGCGGGCUUACGCUUGAAUAUUUCAGCAUGGAAUAACACUAUAGGACUCCUGUCCUAUUUCGUUGGUCUCGGGACGGGAGUAAUGAUUAAGAGGAACAGUUGGGGGCAUUCGUAUUUCAUUGUCAGAGGUGAAAUUCUUGGAUUUAUGAAAGACGAACUUCUGCGAAAGCAUUUGCCAAGGAUGUUUUCAUUAA